AUUGAACGCUGGCGGCAUGCUUUACACAUGCAAGUCGAACGGCCGCGCGGGCUUAGGCCUGGCGGCGAGCGGCCAACGCGUGAGCAAUGCCUCGGACCCUGCCCAGUAGUGGCGGAUACCCCGGCGACAACCGGAGUAAUACCGCAUACGAUCAGGCUGCGAUAGCGGGGGACCUGAGACCCUCGCGCUAUCGGAGCGGCCGUUGCCGGAUUAGCUAGUUGGUGGGGUAAAGGCUUAACAAGGCCACGAUCCGUAACUGGUGUGAGAGGACGACCAGCCACCUGGGGAGUGGGACUCGCCCCAGACUCCUGCGGGAGGGAGCAGUCAGGAAUUUUGGACAAUGGGGGCAAACCUGAUCCAGCCAUGCCCCGUGCGGGAAGAAGGCCUCCGGGUUGUAAACCACUUUUGUUCGGGAAGAAACCCGCUGGCCUAAUACCCCGGGAUGAUGACGGUACCGGAAGAAAAAGCACCGGCUAACUACGUG
This 484-nucleotide ribosomal RNA is filed under the name uncultured bacterium. Its description in RNAcentral is "partial 16S ribosomal RNA". It matches the Rfam family "Bacterial small subunit ribosomal RNA", at positions 28 to 507 of the family's 1533-position model. The record is from RNAcentral.